GCACCAGGAAAUAUCUACAUCAUUGCUGUGGUAUUUAGAAAGAAAAAAUGAAGACAAUGCUUCGAUACAUAUUGUUCUUGACUCUUACAAUUUUAUGUUUUGUGGUAGCCACUGACGCUUUAUAUUAUAAUCCAUUAGAUAAUCAAGUUCAUCGUAGGACUCUGCCAACCCCAAAAGAUAUUGGAUCCAUUCAUAUUAUUCAUAUCCCUACUGACUGACCAACUCACUAAUAAAAAGGGAGAUGCUGACGCCCAUCCCUGUUAAUACUGCAGCAACAAGUUUCCACUUUCCAUUUAUUAAGUGAUGAUUUCAUAAUAUAAUAUAUUUUUAGACAUAAUAAAAUUCUAAAUUUGUUUGUGUA
Molecule: RNA transcript, 361 nt
Organism: Parasteatoda tepidariorum (common house spider)
Lineage: Eukaryota; Metazoa; Arthropoda; Arachnida; Araneae; Theridiidae
Source: RefSeq, a predicted model, not a curated record